GAAAUGCGAUAAUUAAUGUGAAUUGCAGAAUUCAGUGAAUCAUCGAGUCUUUGAACGCACAUUGCGCCCCCUGGUAUUCCGGGGGGCAUGCCUGUCCGAGCGUCAUUGCUGCCCUCAAGCACGGCUUGUGUGUUGGGCUUCCGUCCCUGGCAACGGGGACGGGCCCAAAAGGCAGUGGCGGCACCAUGUCUGGUCCUCGAGCGUAUGGGGCUUUGUCACCCGCUCCCGUAGGUCCAGCUGGCAGCUAGCCUCGGAACCAAUCUUUUUAACCAGGUUGACCUCGGAUCAGGUAGGGAUACCCGCUGAACUUAAGC
Molecule: unclassified non-coding RNA, 314 nt
Filed under: plant metagenome
Description: partial contains 5.8S ribosomal RNA, internal transcribed spacer 2, and large subunit ribosomal RNA
Rfam family: 5.8S ribosomal RNA (bases 1-105)
Source: RNAcentral